Molecule: ribosomal RNA, 441 nt
Filed under: uncultured bacterium
Lineage: Bacteria
Description: partial 16S ribosomal RNA
Rfam family: Bacterial small subunit ribosomal RNA
Source: RNAcentral
CCUACGGGAGGCAGCAGUGGGGAAUAUUGGGCAAUGGGCGCAAGCCUGACCCAGCAACGCCGCGUGAAGGAAGAAGGCUUUCGGGUUGUAAACUUCUUUUGUCAGGGAAGAGUAGAAGACGGUACCUGACGAAUAAGCCACGGCUAACUAUGUGCCAGCAGCCGCGGUAAUACGUAGGUGGCAAGCGUUGUCCGGAUUUACUGGGUGUAAAGGGCGUGUAGCCGGGUUGACAAGUCAGAUGUGAAAUCCUGCGGCUUAACCGCAGAACUGCAUUUGAAACUGUUGAUCUUGAGUACUGGAGGGGCAGACGGAAUUCCUGGUGUAGCGGUGAAAUGCGUGGAUAUUAGGAGGAACACCAGUGGCGAGGGCGGUCUGCUGGACAGCAACUGACGGUGAGGCGCGAAAGCGUGGGGAGCAAACAGGAUUAGAUACCCGUGUAGC